This is a long non-coding RNA of Anastrepha ludens (Mexican fruit fly), 2918 nucleotides long. RefSeq lists it as uncharacterized. The transcript has 4 exons. NCBI's taxonomy places the organism in Eukaryota, Metazoa, Arthropoda, Insecta, Diptera, Tephritidae. The record is from RefSeq and is a predicted model, not a curated record.
GCUCGUGAGACUUCUCUAUACAUAAACGUACUCUGUGUUGGAUCGCUGCACUUAUUCAGGCAGAAAUAAAAAACCUACGUAAAGCGCGAGGAAUUGCUCGUGUGGGUGUUGCGCAUGCAUCUACGUACAACAUAUUGGUAUCGACGUGGACAGCCAGUUCGGAAGUCAAAUUGAUUUCAGAGGUAGCAGUACUAGGCACACGAUGACCGUCACAUGUUAAACACUUAACUAGGUAUUUGCACCAUCGUACACAGCACGCUCAAUGUCAUCCAUGAAAUUGUCCGAAGAACCACAUAUGAUAUGACAAUGGUAGAAACACACGCAUUCUUGCCUUCGUUUCUAAAAACCACAAUAAUUCUGCCACCUAGUUGUUCAACACGCACCUUCCGCAGCAGUUGCUCGUCUGUGAAGUCCCACAAAUAAAAACUUUUAAAAACAAUUUAUUAGCAAAUAUUCUAACAGAACUUCCUAACUGUAGUUUAUGUAUUGUAUGUAAGGUGGUCACUAUUAUAUCGUCCCCUUAGUAUUAAACAUUUUUUGAUGUUUUGAGAAAAUGAAUUUCAAACUUUUUGUCGAAAGUAGCUCUCACUCAAAUCUCGUUAUGUCUGUAAAUAUUUUUUAUUUUUUGACUGACGUUUUGACCCACUUUGUGGAACUAGAAUUUGACAAAAUUUUGACCACAUAUAAAAUCGACGAUGGAGAAUCCAAAAAUUCAAUAAAAAAAUAAUAGCCUAUGAGCACAUAGGCUAUUGUUAUACUAAGGGGACGAUAUUUGCAAAAACGCUGUUCUAAAAACCUAUGAAUGAAAAAGAUUAAUAAUAAUUUUUAGAAAUGUCUGAUCUGGAUUUACGUGUAUGAAAAUUCACAAACCGGUGGUUUACCGCAGCAGAAAGCCAACUCCAAAUAAUCAACUACCACAUCGACCUAAAUAGCGAAAAACGACAUUAAUUUACAAAAUAAUUAGCUUUCAUUAUUAUACUUACUUGAAUGUUUACAAACAGAUAAAAGAUUUUCAACGAAUAAUAACAAGGCAAAGCGUCAAAGUGGAAACGGUGUUGCCGACCAUAUAAUUUGCACUAAAAGUUGAAUUUUUACUACAAUUUAAAAUUUUUUUCAUAAAACAUGUACGUAUAUUUGUACACUCGUUUGUGAAUACUCAUGCAUGUACGUAAAUCUCGAUCAGGCAUUUGUACAAAUUCUUAUUAAAUCUUUUCCUUUGUUAGAACUGCAAAUACAGGGUGGGCCAUAUAGCGUUUGCUUUUGGAGCCACCUAUUUUUUUGAGAUGGUAACACAAAUGUCACGCCAAAUGUGUUCAUAAUUUACUUAAAGGUUUAACAUUUACGAAAUGGGACGCUUUACGCUUGAACAAAUUGGGGAAAUAUUGAAAACCUAUUUCAUAAGUGGUGAGUCUUCCUCUUCUUUUCUGAUUUUCACAUCGGUGGCUACGUCAAUAAGCAAAAUUGUCGGAUUUGGGGCUCAGAAAAUCCACACGUUACUGUAGAGAAGCAAAUACAUCCACAACGAGUCACUGUUUAGUGCGGUUUUUGGUCUGGCGGCAUCAUCGGGCCAUUUUUUUCGAAAAUGAGCGAGGCGCUGCGGUUACAGUAAAUGGCGAGCGUUACAGUGACAUGCUCAACGAGUUGCUUCCAAAAAUUGAAGAGGAUGACAUGGACGACAUUUGGUUUCAACAGGACGGUGCAACUUGUCACACUGCCAAAGUUACACUCGAACUUUUGGCUACCGUUUUUGAAAACCGAAUAAUCAGCCGAAAUUCCGAUAUCAAUUGGCCGCCUCGGAGCUGUGAUUUAAGCCCGUUGGACUAUUUUUUGUGGAGAGCCGUUAAGGACAAAUGCUGUGCGAACCAUCCAGAGACGAUUGAUGCUUUAAAACACGAAAUCGAAGUUGCCAUUCAUGAAAUUGGAGCCCAAACAAUCGAAAAUGUGCUUAAAAAUUGGGUUGAUCGAAUGGCCUACUGUAAAGCCAGUCGUGGCAGUCAUUUGAACGAUAUUAUUUUUCAUUCAUAAAUGACAAUGUUCAAUCUUCAAAAUAAAAAAAAAAAGUUUGAAAAAAUAUUGAUUAGUUUUUAUAGCCGAUUCAAAAAGCAAAUUUUACAUGGCCCACCCUUUACAAUCGCAGUCACCUUACAUAUACCACAUUCACAGGCGCAUAAGUGCAGCGGGAGGUGUGUUGAAAAGCUAAGUGGUACUACUGUAGUGCUUUUUAGAAACGAAGGCAAGAAUGCGUGUGUUUCUACCCUUGUCAUAUCAUACAUAUAUGGCUCUUCGGACAAUUUCAUGGAUGACAUUGAGCGUGCUAUGGUGAUGGUGUAAAUACCUUCAAGUGUUUGCAUGUGACCGUCGUUAUGUGUCUGGUGCUGGUGCCACUGAAAUCGACUUGGCUUCCGAACUGGCUGUCUCCGCCGAUACCAUACCGGGCCUUGAACAGUACGCUGUUUUUGGUUUCUGCGCAAGUUCAACGUCUCUACAUCUGCUCGAAUCAGUGCAGCGUUCCAACACCCAUACUCGUACGAGCCACUUUCCGCAAUUUUUCUCAUUGCAUUUGAUUAACGUAAAUUUAUGAAUUAUAUUAGUAAUAUAUGAAAUAUUUGUUUUAGACUAUAUGAAUACAUUUUCCCAACACUUACUAAUAUUAGGGCCAAGUAUAUUAAGGUAAACAAACUUUACACUAUAAACUACCAAACUUGUAAAAAAAAAUAUACUCGGAAAUCUACAUAAAAGCUUAUUUUGUUUACUAGCAGCAUUUCCUUUUCAAUAUAAUGAAAAUACUCCGUUAGAGACGCCAUGUUUUUACUUUUUCUAUCUUCACAUCUAACUAAUGUUUGUUUUAAAAUUCCGAUCUAACUUAAAACACAUAUUUAAGUAACAAAUCAUAGUUCUGCGUGCUCUUGUCUUGUUAG